RNAcentral lists this ribosomal RNA (364 nucleotides) under uncultured bacterium. RNAcentral's name for it is "bacterial SSU rRNA". It matches the Rfam family "Bacterial small subunit ribosomal RNA", at positions 29 to 417 of the family's 1533-position model. The record is from RNAcentral.
AACGAACGCUGGCGGCAGGCCUAACACAUGCAAGUCGAACGCCGUAGCAAUACGGAGUGGCAGACGGGUGAGUAACACGUGGGAACAUACCCUUCGGUUCGGAAUAACUCAGGGAAACGUUGAGCUAAUACCGGAUACGUCCGCGAGGAGAAAGAUUCAUCGCCGGAGGAUUGGCCCGCGUCUGAUUAGCUUGUUGGUGAGGUAACGGCUCACCAAGGCGACGAUCAGUAGCUGGUCUGAGAGGAUGAUCAGCCACAUUGGGACUGAGACACGGCCCAAACUCCUACGGGAGGCAGCAGGUGGGGAAGUAUUGGACAAUGGGCGCAAGCCUGAUCCAGCCAUGCCGCGUGAGUGAUGAAGGCCC